UUGCCAAUGAUGGUUAAGAAUUUCUUCACCUGAAUAAACCGUGUGGUCACAUUUUAUCUGAGGCAAA
Non-coding RNA from Microcebus murinus (gray mouse lemur), 67 nucleotides. The record is from Rfam. Lineage: Eukaryota; Metazoa; Chordata; Mammalia; Primates; Cheirogaleidae.